This 557-nucleotide long non-coding RNA is filed under the name Triticum aestivum (bread wheat). RNAcentral describes it as "long non-coding RNA (TAES_LNC017915)". Lineage: Eukaryota; Viridiplantae; Streptophyta; Magnoliopsida; Poales; Poaceae. The record is from RNAcentral.
CAGCGGCAGCCGCACAUCAGCAGCUUGCUCUGUUCCAUCCGGCAGCAAUGGCGGCCACCACCACCAUGGCGCUCUCCUCCCCCGCGAUCAAGCUCGCCGGAGCCUCCUACGCCCUCGGCGGCGGCGGCCGCAUCACCAUGCGCAAGGCCGCGCCCAAGGCCUCCGCCUCCAACAGCCCGUGGUACGGCCCCGACCGCGUGCUCUACCUCGGCCCGCUCUCCGGCGAGCCCCCGAGCUACCUCAGCGGCGAGUUCCCGGGCGACUACGGGUGGGACACCGCGGGCCUCUCCGCCGACCCGGAGACCUUCGCCAAGAACCGCGAGCUCGAGGUAAUCCACUGCCGCUGGGCCAUGCUCGGCGCGCUCGGCUGCGUCUUCCCCGAGCUGCUCGCUCGCAACGGCGUCAAGUUCGGCGAGGCAGUCUGGUUCAAGGCGGGCUCCCAGAUCUUCAGCGAGGGCGGCCUCGACUACCUCGGCAACCCUAGCUUGGUCCACGCUCAAAGCAUCCUUGCCAUCUGGGCUUGCCAGGUCGUGCUCAUGGGCGCCGUCGAGGGGUAC